Pteropus alecto (black flying fox) is the source of this 5810-nucleotide long non-coding RNA. RefSeq lists it as uncharacterized. NCBI's taxonomy places the organism in Eukaryota, Metazoa, Chordata, Mammalia, Chiroptera, Pteropodidae. The record is from RefSeq and is a predicted model, not a curated record. The transcript has 6 exons.
AAGGAGAGGAUUUCUACAGCUAAGAUUUAAAACUAAAUUUACCUAGUCAUAAGGAUCCUUGGUUUCAUUGUGUCCUAUUUCCCACAUCCUGUCUCACUGUGUCCUAUUUCCCAUGUCCUGUCUGUUGUCUCCUGUCUUCUGUCCCUUAUCUGCUGUGUCUUGUCUGCUGUCCCCUCUAUGCUGCAUCGUGCCUCCUGUCCCUGUCUGAUUUCCCUGUCUGCUGUUCCUCGUAUGCUGUCCCUUUCUGCUGUGUCCCAUCUGCUUUGUCCUGUCUGCCGUCUACUGCCUGCCAUUUCCUGUCUUUUUUCCCUUGUCUGCUGUGUACUGUCUUCCAUGUCCUGUCUGCUCUUCCUUGUCCACUUCCUCCGUUUGUCAUGUUCUGUCUGCUGUGUGCUCUCUGCUAUGUCUUGUCUGUUGUGUCCUGUCUGCUGUCCCCUGUCCUCUGCUGUCCUCUGUCUGCUGUAUUCUAUCUUUUGUGUUCUGUCCGCCAUGUCUUGUCUAUUGUUUGCUGUCUGCUAUCGUGGGCACAUACUUGCCUGCUGGAGGUAGUCCAGCUGGGUCUCAGAUACAUAAUCUUUUCUUAGUGGUAGGUUCUUCCCAACCCUCAAUGCCAGACCAAUUUCUUGGAGUUCAUUAUGGACAUAUGUGUUUUGUUGGGUGAGCCCCCUCUUUCUACCAGCCUGUGACUUCUUGUGACCAAUGUUAUGAAGGGCCUUCUUUCUGGAUAGGAUACAUUCAGAACUCUUAAGAAAAAAUAAGAGUUUACCAGGUAUCAGUGGGAGGGGGACUGACUAAGAUUCGCUCCUGUCCCCUUGUGUCUGGGGAAUGGAGUUGGAGGUGAGAGGAAAGGGGACUAAAGAUCAUAGCCCUAGGGUGGGUCACUGAAGGCUGCAUUAUCAGGAGAGAUGGGGUCUAGUAUUCCUCCUUAGAGCUGGUCCACUGGCACACAGGCAGCUUUGGGGGUAUGCAGAGGAAAUCCCAGGAUAGGCUGGGGUGGGGCACGAGUUUCUCCCUGUCUUUUAGAGGGGUGGGGGUCAGGUUUGCUUUCCCAGCCCCACUCUCUGAGUCCUAGGAGGCCUGGGGAAGCAAGCAGAGGCCUGAGAAAGGGAUGCAUUUUUGGAAUUCCAAGCAUGUCUGCUUCCUUUCUGGCCUGGUUCUGCCUGGAAGCCAGGAUCUGUGUAGAACUGUUGGCUCCGGGCUCCUUUUAGUCCUACCUCAUGGCUCUAGGAGUUGCCAGAAGAAAUUUGCUGGGCCCUGCCAGGCCUUACUCGUCCUCUCACCAGGGGGUGGUAGUGAAGGCAGUGCUCCUACCAGGGAGACUGUGCUCCAGAGCACAUGGUACUGAAAAAAGGCCACAAAAAAUGAUAUCACUUAAUUUAGGGACCAAAAUAUCAUAGGGAACUAUUUGCUUGGGACAUCAUAUUAAAAUGUUAAAUGUAAACAUUUUUUAAAAAGCUCAAUCUUACUUUAUUCUUAAAUUUUGGUUAUGAUUACUCCUAUGCAAAGAUGAUGAUGAUGAUGAUGAUGAUGAUGAUGAUGAUGAUGAUGAAUGUGUGUGUGUGUACAUGAUGCUACUGAGAAAGCUGGACAUCUGGUACUUGUGAUAUGAUCAUAGAAAGGGUCACUUUUGAAAAGAAAACUGCUGAUUCAUCAUGUUUCCUGAGAACCCUGGGAGCCUCGGUGCCCAGUUGGUAGCCCACUGCCCUCCUUCUUGCUAUGGGGCAGGGGUUCUUCCUCUUCAGCUAGUCACCUGUCCCUGCCCCUCCCCCUGGCCCGCUGAUCCCUCUUUCCAAGGGUGUAGGUAUGCAACUCUCCACCACCUUUCUUUGACUUUCUCACAUCCUGCAUUUUCCUUGCAAGACUUGCCAUUUCCAUGUUCAAAGUCUCUUUAGGAUACGUACAUUGUUGAGAUGGGCAGUGAGAGAGUCUGGAGUUAAGACUAGGAACAUCUGCAUGUGGUUACAAGAAGUUCUUUUGUGAGAGGGUUUUCCUGAACUGUGACCUUGGCUUUCUUGCCCACCUACAGGAAGGCAGUUACUGACAUUUAGAUGAAGAGGGCUUGGGAUCUGUGGCACCUGGAAAAUUCUCUGUGCUCCAUUUUUCUAUGCCUGGCCAGGAUGGCACCCAGGCUGGAAUGCCAUUCCAGCUUCCCCCUCUUCUCUUCAGGCCAGCCUGAGAGCUGGAGUCUCUGUGGCCCAGUCACCACUUGAAUGUGGCUGCCGUCUGUGGCAGCUGUCCCUGGGCAGCAAGAACUCUGACAUUCUUUCCCCUGCAGCUGAAAUUGGAUGUGCAUUUCAAGUCAGGUCCUACUUACUCUAGCCAGGCAUAUAUACCCAGGGGAGCUGUUAUGAGUUCCCUGCAGAGUGUUAGGCCUGCCCAUCAUGGCCCUCCACUGGGCUUCAGACUGCUGUUUGAGUGACCCUCUCUACAACAGACUCACACUUCUCAGGAUUCCUAGACCCCAGGUGAAAUCUCAUCCCCUACUCCAACAGACUCUCUUGUCUGUGCUGGAGUCACAGUCACUCCCACCUGGAUGGUUUCAUGGGUUCUUCCUGCCAAUGCUGGCCUGGGGGUCCCUCAGGCUCACCCCUCAACUGGGAAGGGACUUUUGGAAAUUGAAUUGAUUAUCUAUCGCUGGGUAAGAAGUCACCCCAAGAUUUAGUAGUUUAAGAAUAACAAUUUUUCUUUCUUGUGAAUCUUCAAUUUGGGCUGCUCGUGGCAUCACCCGAGGAGUCCCUUCCAAGAUGGCAUGCUCACAUGGCAUGUUAGUGCUGGCUGUCAGCUAGAGGAUUAGCUUGGGCUUUGGGCCUGAGGUCUCAGCUCCUUUCUGUGGGAUGCUUGGGCUUCUUUAAAGCAGGGCAGCUGAGUUCCAAAAGUGAAUGUCUCCAGAAAACAAAUUGAAAGCCUUUAAAGUCACAAGGCAUAACUUAUGCCCCUCAAUAUGGAUUAAAACCUUCACAAAGUCUUACCCAGGUACAAAGAGUGGGAACAUUGGCUCCACCUUUUGAUGGGUGGGUGGCAAAAUUAUAGAGAAGCAGAGUUCUAGAAAAGCAUAUGAUUCUAGAGGAGCACAUGGUUCUAGAAGAGCAUGUGGUUCCAGAAGAGCAUGUUAUGGACAGUAUUGGAAAAUGAGAUCUGCUGUAAAAACAAAAAUAUGGUAAGCAGCCUCUGAGAUGGCCCAAGACUCCCUUCUUCCUGGGAUUGUGCCCUUGUGUAAUCUCCUCCUCUUGAAUGUAGGUUGGACUUAUGCACUUCUAAUGAACGUACUAAUGGCUGAAGUGGUGGGAUGUCACUUCUAAGAUCAGAUUACAAAAAAGCUGUGGUUUCCAUCUUGGAUGCCCUUGCUCUCUGUUGGAUCACUCAUCCUGGAGGGGGACACCAACUGUAAUGUCAGGAAGCAGCUCUGUGGAGCAGCCUACACGGUAAGGGACCAUGGCCUGUCAAAACCGUGUGAGAGAUCGUGAAAGUAGAGUUUCCAGUCAAGCCAUCAGAUGAGACCACACAGCCUGCUGAUAGCUUGACUACAUCUUCAUGAGAGACCCUUGCCAGAGGCCCUCAGUCAAGCCAAGUCCAGAAUCUGACCCACAGAAAUGCUGCAAACAAACCAUAGGUCAUACUGAUAGCAGCUAAAAAUCAUUGGAAUAAAGAGUGAAGGAAGGAAGAAAACAGAUUUUGGUGAAAAGAUCUUUGCAUCAGGAGGAGAGAAGCUGGUGGGAGCUAAAGGUGUACUUUCUGGCCUGCAGUGAAGGCUGGCUAGACAGAGAUCUGGAGCCUGGUGGGCGAGGGACCAGCCCUGAAGCUGACAGCCUAGGUCCUGACUGAUCAGCUGGAAGGCAUCUUUUUGGAGGAGACUGUGAGAAGAGCCUUGCACCCAGGAGCCAGGGAAGUGUGUGCUCAUCUACCUUCCCUCCUGCUGGGAGCUUACAGCAGGGAGAGCUUUCCUGCUCUAAGAAGGCCCAGCACCCUCUUCAGCCAGAGCUGUGAGAGUCGCUUUGUUAAUUUCCAGGAUGAUGUCAGCAGAACCUGUUAAGAUAACUGAAGACCCAAAUGUGUAGAUUAAAAAUGGAAGAAAUGUCACCAAGGGCUCUGGGCAACUGGUGAUGUCUAAUAUCCCUGGAGCAAGUUGUGGUGCUGACAUGCCUGCUGGCUGGACCAGUGAAUGACCUGGCCGUCCGUUCCCUUCCGGGCUCCAGCAGAAGUUCAGGGCUAAACGCCUUCCUGGAUGACAUCCUCGCUUCCCUCUUCAGUAGAGUCUUGCAUUGAAUAUAUAACCUUGCAGAUAUACUGCCCAGAGUGGGUGGGAGCGAGGAGGGAGUCACAAGAGCAAUUAGAGAGUGAAGACUGAGCAGAUGGGGCUUUCUGGUGGACGAGGGCAGGGGAAUAUUUGUGGCUGCCUUGGCUUGGCAUGCCGGAGGGAGAGAAAUUGUAAGUAUGUGUGCCAUGUAAACACUAGUACAUUCAAACUCACAGGCAGGUGUGCAGGUGCCUUGGGCUGUGUGGUCUCCCUCUAUGGUCCCCCACCUGGCGAUGUCUAACCUGUUCCCUGGCUCAGAGAGCAGUGGCCCAGGCAACGGCCUUUCUUUCUAGAGACAAUGGGCAUCAGGAGAGUGGGGCCAGUGUUGCCAGGGGCUCCUGGGUCCCUGUUAUGGGCCGGCCCAUAUCCCAGCCCCACAGAGAAUACUGGGCUUUGGCUCUAGUGAAAAAGAAGGUUUAAGCUCCCACAGUUCACAAGUGAUGGUGCUAAGAUUUGAACCUGGCUCUGUUAUGCCUGAGGACUUUCCUCCACACCAUGUGGCACCUGGCUUAUGGAGAGCUGCCCUCAGAGCCAGGGCUCCAUUGUUACCCCAGAUACUAAAGAAGAUGUUUGGGAGGAGGUGCAGGAGAGGGGCUCUGAGCUGUCAGACCAGGUUCUGCCUCUGUGAGUUCCCAGUGACGGUUGUGCAGCCUGCUGCUCUCCCUCCUAUCCAGGCAAGCGGGGCUGGAGGACACUCUCUCAUCCCAAGGCAAGGCUGGGAGAAGUGGGGGUGAGAAAUGAGAAUAGGGUCAGUACCAAGGACACCAAUGGAGUCCUUGUUUACUGCUGAUGGAGUAAGCAGUAAACAAGCUUUCACAUUUCACUGGAGCUUACUCCAUUUCUUUUUGCUGUGUAAAUUUUCUCAUUUUCAUUCCAGAACCUUUUCUUCUUUCCCUCUCAGCCUGAUUCAGAGUUGGGGAGGCUUAGAGCUAUACCACAGGCCCAGGAAGGCCCAUAAAUAAAUGAUGAUGGAACACUCUUCAUCUUGAGGAAUUUGGAGGAAAACAGAUGGUUGUAGCUGGGUGACAUUUACUUUACUGUCUGUCAAUAUUUGAGAGGUUUUAUUACUUUGUAGUGCCAGAUUUUAGAAUAAAUUAAAUGGCUAAUGGAAAUAUUAAAAUAAAAUUAAUUUAACUAAACAAAACUGGGAGGAUUGGUACAAUUUGUUUAGAAGUUACUAAAUAUAUUUUCAAAAUGAAUCUUCAGGGAGGGGAGUAAUUCCUUAUUCACCUGGUGGAAGCCCAGCCAGCCAGACUGCACUAUGCACUUUCUGGGGCCAGGACCUGGGCCAGCAUUGGCAUGAAGCUGGGCUUGCCUUGGCAGGCUUGUCCCUGGAGAGCUCAAAGCCAGACAGCCUGGCGUGUGGGAGGCAGACAUGUGGGCUGCAAUCUUGACCCAUGCUUUCCUCAUGUGCACAGGGUUAAAGGAGGCCCAAGGAGGCCAGAUUCUGCCUGCUGCUUCUGUGCCUUCAUCACUCUCUGGGCAUUUGCUCAGUGCCCAGCUAGAGGUAAAAGAU